AAAAAAAAACGUGAACUCAAGAACAGAAGAAGAAAAAAAUUAAGAAGAAGAAGAAGAUCGACUGGGUCUCGUCGACUGAAGAAGAAGAUGGAAGAAGAAGAAAAAAGAAAAAAACAAGAAGAAAGGAGAAGAAAAAAAUACCUGGGUUGGGAUGAAACCCUAAUUUUCUGCAACUGGAGAAGAAGAAGAGAGGCUGGUCCACCUCUGUUUGGGACUAAUAUAGGUAUUUUUGAGACCCCAAAGUUUUUUUUUUUAAAAAAGACCUCUGCAUGCGCUUUCUUCAAUUAAGCGAUCGCUUUUGCGCUUCGAUCGCUUCUGCGCGUUUGCGCUUCUGCCAUGGAAGCGAUCGCUUCUCUAGGUCGCCUCGCUUCAGCCUGCAAAAAGCGAUAGAGGGUCGCUUCGCGUCGCUUCGCGACGAAGCGACCGCUUUUCAAAACACUGCACCUAAGACACAACAAGAUAUAUCUACUAGAUGCAUUUAACAAGAAAAGCUAAUAAUUAACAUAAUGUUUAGGAAGAUUUCGGCUAAGUUGAGUUAUUGGUCAGUUUUCUACUUUUUUAUGACAAUGAGUGUAUUACUGAUUAAGAGGUUGAGCUCUUACUUACCUAAAUGACUAAUUCGAAUACUCGUUUGGUUUUCUUCCCCAAAAAAGGUCAGCAAACUUCAACCUUACUCUUUUGUUUUACUAGUUUAAGUCCCUAAAUGUGAAAUAUUUUACUAUCUCUACCGAUUGAUCUUACCGAUAAUACAUUCAUGCCUUUUAAUUAUUUUAUCUAUUUGUUAAUGACUAACGAGUACAUUUUGCAACCCGAAACUUCUUUUAAAAAACAUUUGAAUGCUAAAAUGCAUAUGUUGAUUCAUGUCUAUUGUUAACUCUGACAUGAUUUCUUGACUAUCUUAAAUACUUAGUUCCAAAUCUAUCUCUCUCUCUUAUAUGCUUUGUUAAUAGUGUUAUGAUUACUACACUAACAUGCUUUGAACAUCAUUCACCAUUCACAUUUAUUCAUUUAAUUCAAUAGAAUCUGAUUAUGUUAAGGGCUAAAAGAUCAAAUUGUUAUUUUGGUUCUACUUAUGCCCUUUGAAUCUACUCUCAUAUCUUUAUUGUAUCUAUGUGAUUUUGUUGAUUACUUGAUUGAACUUAUGUCCCUUUAUGUAUGCAUAUAUUUAGUUAGUUGGUUCUUCAUAUUGCAUUUGUAUGUGAAUCUUAGACUGGUUUAUAUUGAACCUAUGUUAUGAAAGCUGCUGAAAUGUAUCUAAGUUGUGAUAACACAUUUGUUCAUUUAAAACACUCCUGCUAAGUUCCUUUGUACCUGAAGCCUAAUCUCAAACACACUUAGCAUUUUUCCCUUGAUUUGAUGAUAUAUUUAUCCUUAUUAAACCUCAUAUGAUGUCACUGUUAGUAAUACUUCCAUGACAUAAUCUCUGCUAAGUUCCCUUUGUGUGUGAUUAUGAUCCUGUAUUCAGCUAUGAUUUCCAACAUCUCUAUUUGACUUUCAUUACCACACGUAUGCCCACACUGCUAUGAAAACUUGACUAAGUUCUCUCAAGUAUACAAGACAUAACUCCAAAUGACCUCUUUGUUACUACUGCUUGGAUAUAACUGUUUGCUUCAUUUUAAUAGAAUUAGUUUAAAGUUAAAACUCCUAAAAGAGGUAAAUUUGUCAUUAAUUCUUAAUUUGAGGUAUGAUAGAUAAUCUGAGACCUUGUUAAUAAUCUUAGGAGCUGUAAUUAGAUUUGUGAACCUGUGACCUUAUUAGUGUCCUUAGAAGUUCUAAUUUGUGAUCUUGUAGUCUCCCUAAAAGCGUUGUUCUAGGAUAAAAUAUGCGAUCCUGUCAAUUUUUUUUGUAGUGCAAUAAUCUGUAUCAGUACAGUGUAGUUCUAAUUAUGGUUACUACUUUUAUAUUCUAUCAAUACUCCUUGAAUGUUCUAUUCAAAAUUGUUAAAAUGUGCCUCACGAUUAAGGCUAUUGAUAUGUAUUUAUCAUUAAAGAUGUAUAAACUGUCUGCAUUAGCAUUCUUUGGAAGGCAUUAACUGUAGUAAUGAAUCUGCAAUGUGGUUGACAUUCUCAGGAUUUUAGUUGUAAUCGUUAAACUAUCCUCUCCUAAUUCCCCUAGAUGUUUGAUUUCUUAACAGGAGCAUGACAAAGUAUGUUUGAAGAUUGUCUUCUUUGAAGCUAUUUAAUGUGUUAAUCAUCCAUUUAGUAUUGGAAAUGGUUAAGAUAUUGUAGAUAGACUGCCUUGUGGCCUUAUGAUAUUCUGUUUGGCACUCAUAAGAAGGGUGUACACUUAUGUGGUAUGGUAUUGCUAUGGUGAUCGGUUUACAUUGAAAAUGCCUCAUUGGCACUUAACCUAUGGGGAAGAGUGAGUAAUUAAUGGUUAGGCGUAUUUGGGAGUAGAGUUUAACUCUUGGUUGGGCUGCUCUCCCAAGCACAAGCAUUGCCCUAUGCCCUUGAGACCCUUUGGAACUUUGAAGUGUCAGGGGAUACAAAGGGGGAUUUGUCCUUGAGUAAAACUCUAUCCCUAGCCUCUAAUCCAUUAAUAUUCAUUACUCUUUUUGGGUUAAGUGUUUAAGAUAAAAAAGGGUUUCAAGGUAAAUCACUUUACAAUAUGUAACCUCCACAUUAGUAUAAUCUUUUAUAGUAUUUAAGUACUGCUAGUUGUUAUAUUGUUCAAGUCACUUACAUAUUUCAUGUAUAAUUAUAUGUAUAGAAUAUUAUUUCUAAUGACUUUCUCUCUUUCUUUUCUGAACAUGUAAAACCACUGGGCCUGCCGCAUUCUCAAGAAUCCCAGGCCCAAAUCUUGUGUCAUGCAUCUGAACAUCUAGAGCUUAUUGUUGUCCAUUCCUGCUAAUUGUCGGGCCUACCUCUUUUAUUCUGAUUCAAUUCACAUUCCAAACUAUGUAUUUUCUUUGUUGCUGCAGUUCAUCAGUUUGUGAUUUCCAAUGCUAUGUGAUAUUCUACUUAAUAUGCAAUCAGCAUGCCUAGAUUAUUGUAUCACAAAAACUUGUUUAAGCUUAUUCUGUUAAAGGCUAUAACUCUCACACUGUUUCGCAUUGUCAAUCCUGCUUUAAAUAAUUGGUUCACUAACAUUUCCCAAGCUGCAUUGUGUGUAUAUGAUUUCACCUAGCAUGACCAAAUUCUGCAUGUUCUGUAUGUGAAAAGUAUUUCUAAAACCUUGAAUAUUUCAUGAAGCUUUUGUCUAGUUUGUUCAUCUAAGUCCAGUUUGUUCUAUUUCACUAAUGAUGUCACGAUCCUAGUUUGCCCUCCAUGAAAAUUUUGUGACGGAACCUAGUCCCUAUAACUAGGUAAGCCUAACAAUGCGGAAACAUAACUUAAGAAAAACAAAAAUUUUAACAUAAGAGACGAAAUGUAAAAUGCCGCUCGAUAUAUACAACAUAAUAAUUCAACUCCUAUAAAUCUUUCCCAAAACCCGAAACUCACAGGAACACAAGCUAAAAGAAUAUAACAAAGUGUUCUAAUCUCCAGAAAUGUCUACAUCAAAAAGUACGAUAGAAAGCUAAACGCUAUAAGAUAGAAUAAUAUGGUUUGCAAUAGUAUAAAAUACGCAGUAAUCUGAAGUCCUAAAGUAAAUACGCAGUCAUAAUAAGAAGUUAUUUAGAAAUGAAGUUCGAAGAAAUACAAGGCAACAGGUAGUUCUAGCUUAACAUGCUUCACGUAGUACAAACAAAGCAACUUAAGCAAAUAGGCAUUUCAGAUCAACUAAGCAUGCUUUUCUAAAGUAACACAGAUUAUAAGUGCAAAUAGAAUAAAGCGGGUAAGAAAGAAACUCAGUCGAAACAUUUAGGUAAAAUCGAAUUUUCAACAGUUAUCUCAAGUACACGCUCAUUACCUAAGGUACAACGCAUUCAAUUACUAAACAUCAUUUCCUAUGGGGAAAGUCCCCCACACAAGGUUAGAUAAGUCACUUACCUCGAACCGGCUCCAAAAUCAACCCACACAUUUGCCACGAGCGUCCGACUCCAAAUGGCUCAAACAAAUUCAAUUCAAUUACAUAUCAUAAAUAACAUUUCAAACAACUAAUUAUACUAUUUAAUUCAAAGAUAAGAUGCAAAAUUAGGAAAAAUAACCAAAACUCCCCUAAAUCCAACGUCUCUAAAUUGGAUGAAAUCAAAAUUUGUAGAACCUUCAUACUCUCACGAGUCUAACCAUAUAAAAAUCUCUUAAAUCGGAAGUCAAACACCCACUCAAACUCAAUAAUUUGGUAUAUGAAGUUUUACCCAUUCUCCAUUCAAAAACCCGAAAUUAGAAGAAGAAUUCAUGAUUAGAUUAGUGGGUUAUAUGCAAAAAGGAGUUUAGAAUCAUUACUCAAUCGUUGUCGCUGAAACACCCUCGAAAUAUCCCUCAAAUCCCUUCUCUCAAGCUUUGGUUUUGGUAAAAAUGGAUAACCCUUGGAUUUUGAAAUGUUUAUAACUGCCCAGGCAUUUAAUGCAUCGCGAACACAGAGGAAGUCACGCGUUCGCGAAGAAGAAAAAUAAAAGCUGCCAUAAAUGCUCUUCACGAUUGCAAGGAGCAGUACACGAAUGCAAAGGCUUGAGCUGACACGGCUACGCGAACGCGACAUGGGGGAAUACAAACGCGAUGAAUAAAAUAGGCUCAUCCCUCAGAGCCAAAUAGAGCUACACAAACGUGAUGGCUUAGCCGCGAACGUGAUGGAGGAUAAAGUGAAGCUUCGUGAAGGCGGAAGGAAUGGACGCGAGUGCGACGAAGAAACGGGUCCUCCUCCAAAAUUACUCUGCGUGAAUGCGUGGAGGAGAACGCGAACAAAAAGAAGAAAAAGGGUCUUGUCAGCUGAAGGAUUUUCUGCAAUUUUUAACAACUCCAAAAUGCCAGUUGAGCAUCCGAAACACACCCGAGGCCCCCGGGACCUCAACCAAACCUACGGACGUAUCUCAUAACAUCAUUCAAACUUGUACCAAUUCUUAAACCGCCUAAAAUAAUAUCGGAAACUCAAAUUAAUUAAUGAUUUAAGCUUAACAACUUUCAAUUCUCUCAAAAUACAAUUUCGAUGAAAAACCUAACCAAACCACGUGCGAAUGAUCUGAAAUUUUGCACACACAUCCCAAAUGACAUGACAAAACGAAUUCAACUUUCAGAAUUCCAUUCCGACCCUCAGAUCAAAAUCUCAUUACCAACCCGGGAACUUCAAAAAUUCAAACUUCGUUUCAAGCCUAAAUUAGCUACGAACCUCGAAAACACAUUCUGAACACGCUCCCAACCCCGAAAUCACCUAACAGAGCUAAUGGAACCAUUAGAUUUUAAUUCUGAGGAUGUCUUCAAACUAUUAUGACUACAUGCAACUUUCCAAUACAUAAGCUCUCCUUUAGGGACUAAGUGUCCCAAAACUCCCCAAAACUCAAAACUAAACAUCCCAGCAAUUCAAUUUUGCAAAAAUAGACUUGGGAAAAACAGUUAAUAGGGUGGCGUUAACUCUUAAGACGACCGGCCAUGUCGUCACAUUCUCCUACACUUAAACAUCCGUUCGCCCUUUAACGAGAAUAAAGACAUACCUAAAGUAGUGAAAAGAUAAGGGUAACUUCUGCGCAUAUCCUGCUCGGUCUCCCAGGUCGCCUCCUCGGCCGGCUGACCCCGCCACUGAACCUUUGCUGAAGUAAUGUUAUUUGACCUCAAAUUUCUGAUUUUCCUGUCCAAUAUAGCAACUGGCUCCUCAACAUAAGAUAGAUCCUUGUCCAGAUGGACUGAACUGAAAUCCAACACGUACGAUGGAUCACCGUUAUAUUUUCUGACCUACUUGUCCAAUAUUGCCACUAGCUCCUCAACAUGAUAUAGACCAUUGUCCAACUGGACUGAACUAAAAUCAACACGUGCGACAGAUCACCGUGAUACCUCCGGAGCAUCGAAACAUGCAAUACCGGAUGAACUCCUGCUAAGCUGGGAGGUAAGGCAAGCUCAUAAGCAACCUCCCCAACACGCCUCAUUAUCUCAAAAGGGCUAAUAAACCUCGGACUGAACUUCUCAUUCUUCCCAAAUCUCAUAACUCCCUUCAUAGGCGUAACCCGAAGCAAAAUUUGCUCUCCGACCAUAUAUGAAACAUCACAAACCUUCUACCUGGACUGGGCUGUACGGAGUCUAUCCUGAAUCACCUUAACCUUCUCCAAUGCAUCCUGAACCAACUCUGUACCCAAUAACGUGGCCUCACCCGGCUCAAACCAACCCACUGGAGAUCUGCAUCUCCUACCAUAUAAGGCCUCAUACGGCGCUAUCUGAACGUUGGACUGAUAACUCUUGUUGUAAGCAAACUCCACCAAUGGAAAGAACCGAUACCAAGACCCUCAAAACUCAAUCACACAUGCACGGAGCAUAUCCUCAAGAAUCUGAAUAGUUCACUCAGACUGUCCGUACGUCUGGGGGUGAAAUGUUUUGCUCAACUCUACACGCGUACCCAACUCUUACUGAACGACCCUCCAGAACCAUGAUGUAAGUUGAAUACCUCUAUCUGAAAUAAUAGAAACUGGAAUACCAUGCAGACGAACAAUCUCCCGAAUAUAAAUCUACGCCAACCACUCCGAUGAAUAAGUAGUACACAUAGGAACAAAAUGAGUGCACUUGGCCAACCGCUCUACAAUCAUCAAAUGGCAUCAAACUUCUUCGAGGUCCGUGGGAGUCCAACUAAAAAGUCCAUGGUGUUCCGCUCCCACUUCCACUCUGAAAAUCUCUAUAUGCUGAAGCAACCCACCCAAUCUCUGGUGCUCAUACUUCAGCUGCGGACAAAUGAGGCAUUUAGCGACAUAUCCAACUAUAUCCUUCUUCAUCCUCCUCCACUAAUAGUGGUGCCUCAAAUCUUGAUACAUCUUCGCAGCACCCGGAUGGAUGGAAUAUCUUGAACCGUGGGCCUCAAGCUAAAAUCAACUCUCGAAGCCCAUCAAUGUUGGGCACACAAAUCCGACCCUGUAUCCUCUAGACUCCGUCAUCUCCAAUGGUCACAUCUCUGGCAUCGCCAUGCCGAACCUUGUCCUUGUCUUCAUACUACCACUCCCUGAUACGAUCGAACAAGGAAGACUGAGAAACCACGCAAGUUGUGACCCGACUGGGCUCCGAAAGGUCCAAUCUCACAAAUUUACUGGCUAAGGCCUGAACAUCCAUCACCAUAGACCUCUCUGAUGUUGGUAAAUAUGCCAAACUCCCAAACUCUUCGCCCGGCGACUCAUGGCAUCAGCCACCACAUUGGCCUUGCCAAGGUGAUACAAAAUAGUAAUAUCAUAAUCCUUCAGCAACUCUAACCACUUACUUUGGCGCAAAUUUAGGUGCUAUUGCUUGAACAAGUACUGCAAACUUCGAUGGUCAAUAUAAAUCUCACAAGCCAGACCGUACAAAUAAUGGCGCCAGAUCCUCAAAGCAUGAACAAUAGCAGCUAACUUAUGGUCGUGGACAGGUUAAUUCUUCUCAUGUAUCUUCAACUAUCUAGACGCAUAAGCAAUCACCUGCCGUCCUGUAUCAAAAACGCUCUAAGGCCAACCCGUGUAGUAUCACAACAAACUGUAUAAGACCCCGAAUCACUAUGAAAUAUCAACACUGGGGCUAUAGUCAAAGCUGUCUUGAGCUUCUAAAAUCUCGCCUCACACUCCUCUGCCUACUGAAAUGGAGCUCCCUUGUGGAUCAAUCUAGUCAUGGAAGCUGCAAUCGAGGAAAACCCCUCCACAAAACGACGGUAGUAACCCGUUAAGCCAUGGAAACUGUGAAUCUUUGUAGCUAAGGACGGCCUGAGCCAACUCUGCACGGUCUCCACAUUCUUCGAAUCCAUUUGAAUGCCCUCACUCGAUACCAUGUGGCCUAAGAAUGCCACAGAAUCCAACCAAAACUCACAUUUUAAGAACUUUGCAUAUAACUUCUUCUCUCGCAUGGUCUGAAGCACGUACCUCAAGUGUUGCUCAUGAUUUUCCCGACUCCGAGAGUAUACAAGAAUAUCAUCUAUGAAAAUAAUGACGAAUGAGUUGAGAUAUGGUAUGAACAUAUUAUGCAUCAAAGGCAUAAAAGCUGCUGGGGCGUUGGCCAGCACAAAUGACAUAACUAGGAACUCGUAAUGACCAUACCGAGUCCUGAAGUUAGUCUUCAGGGUAUCUGGCUCCCGAAUCGUCAAGUGACGAUAACGUGAGCGCAAGUCAAUCAUAGAAAACACAUGUGCGCCUUGAAGUUGGUCGAAUAGAUCAUCAAUACGAGGCACGGGAUAAGGGUUCUUCACUAUAACAUUUUUCAUUGAUAAUAAUUGAUGCACAUACGCAUAGAACCAUCCUUCUUCUUCACAAACAAGACUGGAGCACCUCAAGGUGAAAUACUGGGUCGAAUAAAACCCUUAUUAAGUAAUUCCUGUAAUUGAUAAUGCCAAAAUCAAUAUCUCUAUUAGGCGGGAUGCCCAGAAGAUCAACUGGAAACACAUCUGAUAAUCCUAUUCCACUGAGACCGAAUCAAAAAAAGGGGUAUCAACAGUGACAUCUAUCACAUAGGCUAAAUACAUGGCACACCCCUUCUUAACCAUACUCCGAGCUUUAAGGAAAGAGAUAACUCUAUUGGGAGUGUGAUCUAAAGUACCACUCCACUCAACACACGGAACACCUGGCAUAGCCGGCGUCACAGUCUUGGCUUGACAAUCAAGAAUAGCAUAAUCGGGUGACAACCAGUCCAUGCCCAAGAUAAUAUCAAAAUCAACCAUACUGAGUAACAAUAAAUUCGCUCUAGUCUCAAAACCAGGAAAAAUUUCCAAACAUGACCGAUAAACAUGGUCCACAACAAGAGAAUCUCCCACAAGAGUAGAAACAUACACAAGAGAACUAAAGAAAUAUCAGGGUACACCUAAAUGCAAAGUAAAAUAAGAAGAGACAUAAGAGUAAAUUGACCAUGUAUUGAAUAGAACCGAUACAUCUCUGUGACAAACCAGUAUAAUAUCUAUAAUGAUAGAAUCAUAGGCAACAACCUCCGUACCAGCAGGAAUAACAUAUCAUCUGGCCUAGAUUCCCCCUCGAGGGCAACCUCUACCUCCCCAAUCUCCACCUCUAGCUGGCUGGGCAAUUGGGGUAGCGGCUGGAGCUAUGAUCAUGGCAUGGGAAGUCUAAGGAGCACAAUGUGGCUGAGUAGUCUUUGAAGAUGAACCUCUACCAAGUUUGGGGAAAUCCCUAACCAUAUGGGGUGUAUCACCACACUCAAAACAAGUUUUGGGAGGAUGCGGUGGCUGUGACUAACUACAGCCAGGUCUGCAAGACUGACCUCUGAAAUCAGCCUGCGCAAGAGGCGUACUAGAAACUAGAGGUGCAUAGUAAGGCUCCUGAGGACUAGGAGGAGCUGGAGCACUGCUGGCUGCUGGAAGAGCUGAAUGGACGGGGUGACCCAUGUAACCCCUACCAUGUCAACCUGAUGUUGGGGUACGGGCACCAGAGUUGUGGUCCAGCUCUCGAGACCUCUUGGCCUCUCUUUCCUCUCGCUCCCUAGCGAGCAUACCCUCGAUCCCCUUAGCAAUGUGCACUACUUGCUGAUAAGGAAUGUCCAUCUCCAGCUCUCGAGCAAUGGUAGAUCUGAUGGGUGGGAUAAGACCCUCAAUGAAUCGGUGAACCCUCCCGUGAACAGUAGCAACCAAAGCCGAUGCAUGCCUAGCCAAUCUAUGGUAGCGGAUACCAUACUUUGAAACUAUAAUACCACCAUAGAGCAAAUGCUCGAACUCUGUUCGCCAUACGUCCCUAAGGCUUUGAGCAACAAACUCUCUCAGGAACAUAUCUAAGAAUUGGUUCCAAUUCACUAAAGCAUCCUCGUCUGGACUGUCUAACUCAUAUGUGUGCCACCAAUCAUAAACGGCUCCCCAAACUCAUCGUCUAAUGCUAGUCCACUAAAUAUCAUAGGAUCACACUUCUACCUCUAAAUCCUCCGCUGCUCGUCGUCAAAAGUAGCUCCCCCAUCCACGGGAUGAACUGGCACUAUAGGUGGUACAUGAAUGAACUAUGGGACAUGCUCAACAUGCACUCGCUACUCAGUAGUGCAGGAAGUGGGAGUCUGUGCUCCUCUCCCAGCCUGGGAUGUGGUUGCAGCAAGGGGAAGCAACCCUGCCUGAGCCAAGGUGGUGUACAUACUCAUGAACUGAGCCAAUGUCUCUUAAAGGGCUGGAGUAGUAGUAUUAGUAGGCGCAUCAGGUGCCUGGACUCUGGUUGGAUCCGCUGGUGGUACCUCGGCAGCUACUCGCGCAGGUGCUCUCGCUACACCUGUACACAUCCUCGGCCUUGUCCUCUAAUGGUUGUAGUAAGGGGCACGGGUGAUUCAUCAUCUCUAAUAGCACGUGUCCUCACCAUCCGUAAGAGAAUAGAAGACUAAAUUUUAGGAUUGUGAUUUCAAAAUCUCGCACGACAAGGAAAUCAAAUGAAGUAAAAGUUUCCGUAUCAGUUACAUAGCUUCUCAUAGAUAAGUUCAGACGUCUCCAUACCGAUCAGUGAGACUCUAAUGAACCGGCAUAUGUUACGUGACUCCUAUGAACCUAGAGCUAUGAUACCAACUUGUCACAAUCCCAGUUCCCCUUCCAUGAACAUGUCGUGACGGCACCUAGUCCAUGUGACUAGGUAAGCCUAACAAUGCAGAAACAAAUCAAAAACUUGUGGAAACAUAACUUAAGAAAACGAAACAUUUAAGCAUAAGAGACAAAAUGUAAAAUGCUGCUUGACAUAUACAACAUAAUAACUCACCUCCUACAAAUCUUUUCCAAAACACAGAAACUUACGGGAACACAAGCUAAGAGAAUAUAGUAAAGUGCUCUAAUUGUAAGGCCCCGUGAAAUGAGUGUUUAGAUGUUAGCAGCUCAUAGAGUCGAGUCUACCUCCAUGGAUCAGAUCCUUUUUACUGUUUUGAACUUAAUACUGUGAAAUCAAAAUUUUUCCACAAAAUGGUCAAAAAUGCGGUCCAGAAUGCGGUCGCAGAUCGCAGAGUGAAUCAUAAAGCAACCAAUUUUAGAUGUUGAAAAUGCGGUCAAAUCUACGAUUGCAUAAUCAAUAUGCGGACCGCAGAGUGAUCACAUAUUGUCCCUAAGGAAUUCAAAGGUCAGUUUUGCGGUGCAUUCUGCAAUCGCAGAACUCAAAUGCGGACCACAUAGUCACCGCACUCCCAACCCUAGAGGUUUGAAACUUGAGCCACUUCUGCGGUCCAUUAUGCGGACCACAUGUCUGUUCUGCGAUCGCAGAUUGCGUCGUAGAUCGAGCUCGCCUGGUAUUUUUCUAAAAUUUUAGACCCGACCCACCAUUUAUUAAAGCACCUUCUCCCUCAUUUCUAACACAUUUUUUAUCAAAACAAGAGAGAGGGAGAGAGGGUUCUUGAGAGAGAAAGCAAAUCCUUCAUCAUCUUGUCUUUCAAAUCAUUGGAGCUUGGAAAAUUCUUGGUGCAUUGUCUUCUCUAUUGAUUUCUCAGGUAAAAUCACUAACCCAUUACCCCCAAAUUUCGAAAUUAUGCUUGGGAAGGGAGCCCCAUACACUUGCUUUGAAAUUUCUUCAUAACAUCUUCAUGCAUGUCUUCAAAACUCUAAAAUCUUGUAAAAAGGGAAUCGGGUAGUAACAAUGAGUUUAAAUUUCUAAAACCUAAGUAUUGCUCAUGAACUAGAUUGACUUCUUGAUUGCUUGCCGAAUUGGACUACAGGUUUAAAGGGAAUAAUCAACUCCAGGUAUGUAUGGCUAACUGUGAUCCUUGUGAAAUCGCCCUGUGCUAGUUGUGAAAUUGUUGAUAGUUGAUAUUCAUGUAGGAAUCAUUGUGAAACUUUUGUGUCGUAUAAUUGUGUGGUAACAAUUAUUGGUGAAUGUUGUGGAACUUGUAAUUAGAAGAGUUUGGAAAUGGAAAUAUUGUGGAACAAUGGAAAUUGAAAUAAUGUGGAAUAACGUGUGUGAUUAGUUGUGAACAACUGUGGUAAUAAUCCAAAUUGUGUACCAAUUUGAUGAACAUGAGGAAAUUGUUGUUGCUAGCUAUGGGAUUUCAUUAUCCUUAUGGUGGAUCUAUUUUAACAAUGUGUCAUAGUUGAUUUCUCGUAUUUGUUGUUGUGCUAUUUGUUGUUGUGAAUUGAAAACUGUCAGGCGGGGUCGGGUUGCGUGCCGCAAUACGGUGAAAUAAGGUGUGGGUUGGGGUGAGAAGUGUGGCCGAGGUAAUAAGGGUGGACGAGGCAAUAAGGGUGGAAAAUGUGAUCCAAUAUCACUAUUGAAAUGAAUAUGAAUCAUGAAAUGAUCAAUGUGGAAUUGUGAAAGGAGACUGAAGGAGAUUUUGUAACCCGUGGGGCACUUAUUGCCCCUUUGUUUGACUACUUGACUCAUUUGUUGUGAAAUGAUUAGUUGUUGCUCCAUGGUUGUACUUUUACUAUUGUGGUUCAGUUAUACACUUGUAUAUGCAAAUUGGCUUGAGUUUACUUGGGACAGAGUUUGUUCAUACAUGCCAGUACAAUUCAAAUGUACUGACAUCCCUUUUUCCGGGGGCUCUACAUUCGUGUUAUGAUUUUAGGUUGAUCCAUGGCAGGCAGUUUAGUCCACCGUUCAUAGCUCCUCCUCCUCUCUAUUUCCUGUAUUUGUGUUUGGUGAGCCCCUUUCCUUCCGGGGCCGUGUGUGGCUCAUGCCACCCAUGUUGAUGUAUUUUGGAGUUUGUGUCCUUUUAUAAAGGUAUAACCGGGGCCUUGUCGGCGGCAAGUGUUGUAUUAUCUUUCUCUUAGAGGCUCUGUAGACAAUGGUAUGUAGGUUAGAACUUAUGUAUAGAUGUGUAUGCUUUGGGCGCUGUCAACUUGUAUACCACGUUCCCUGUUAAUCAUAAUGUAGAUGUUCCUUGUUAAUCAUACUGUGUGUUUAUAAAAGAAAAUUAAUGUGUUCUUUCAAUUGCGAAUUUGGUAUCUUUUGGCUAAUUAUCAUUGAAUAAUGUGGGUUAACGCGUAGGAAAUAGGAAAGGCACCCAGGUCCACUCGAUUGGGGAUAUCCGAUCAAGAAUGCCCCACAGAUUUGGGGCGUGAAAAACUUGGUAUUAUAGCGUAAGGUCUUAAAGGAGUCCUAGGAUGUCUCGGAGCUGUGCCUAGAAUAGCCCUUCUCAUCAGUGUGUUGUCAGCCACAUCUAUAAGUUGGGUGCUACACGGGCAUUUAGGAAAAAUGAUCCUCUUCUUUGUUAUUCCAAGUUCGUGCGGUGAAAUGAUGUUGUGUCUAAUUCGUGCUCUAUUUUGAAAUUUUAAUGAUGGAACCUAAGAAGAAAGCUAGGGCCUGGGGACCAACGCUACUUCAAGUGUGGAUGUGGGAUCAUGUGCCGACUGCCGGGGGUGAGAGUGAUUCCCCGGUUCUGAAUUUGCAUGCUCCAUCCGUUCCUAAUCCAAGCAAUCAUGUUCCAGCAUCAGCCUAGGGUGAAACUAUCCCUCCUGCCAAUGCUCCUAAUCCUUAUGUUCCUCCAGCUUCCAAUCCUGGGAUUUCUGAUGGAGACUUUAGGGCAGCUAUUCGCAUGUUUACCCAAUUAGUGGCUGCCCAGGCCGAGAGAUCUCAUGAUGCUCUUGUGUCCUCCGGCAGAUCGGGAGAUCCUCCAGCUCCACAUUUCAUCAGUUUUUGCGAUUGAAUCCUCCAGAGUUCUCAAGCACAGACCCAUAGGCCGAUCCGCAAGAAUUCCUUGAUGAGAUGUACUAGACCUUUCGAGUGAUGAAGGCUAUAGAGAGAGAAGGGGUAGAAUUGGCUUCAUAGAGGUUGAAGGGAGCUACGGGUUCGUGGUAUAAGAUGUGGGAGGAUUCCUGUGAGGAGGGGAGACCUCCAGCUAGGUGGGAUGAGUUCUUAGAUGCCUUCAUGGACCACUUCUUGUUUUCCGAGACCAUGGCAGCCCGUGCCACCGAGUUUGAGGUUCUUAUGCAGGGUAGUGUGACUGUGUGGGAAUAUCAUAUGGAGUUUGUGAGGUUAUCCAAGUAUGCUCCUCAGUUGGUGUCGACUAUGGAGGCCAGAGUUCGGCAAUUUGUUUAGGGUCUCAUCCCUUUGGUGGUAAAUGAGGCUGCUACAGCGGCUUUACAUUCAGACAUGAACUAUGGAAAGAUCGUGGGUUUUUCUUAGGCCAUAGAGGCCAGGAAGUUGAAGAUUUGGGCAGACAGGGAGAAUAGCAGUAGGGCCCGGUCUAUGGGUCACUCAGGGAGGUCACCUCUAGGGAGAGAAUCAUCAUGACCAUCUCAUUCUUAUGCUCCGUCCUCAUAUCGGCGAUUUGUUCAGGGUCUCAGCCCUUUGGUGGUAAAUGAGGCAUCUAUAGCGGCUUUGCAUUCAGACAUGAAUUACGGGAAGAUCGUGGGUUUUGCUAAGGCCACAGAGGCCAGGAAGUUGAAGAUUCAGGCAGACAGGGAGAGUAGCAGCAGGGCUCGGUCUAUGGGUCACUUAGGGAGGUCAGCUCCAGGGAGAGGGUCAUCAGGGCCAUCUCAGUCUUAUGCUCAAUCCUCAGCCAGUGCACCACAAUCUGUGCACCGUUUCCAGCAGAGUAACCCUUCGGGGUCAAGUUCAUACAAAAAGAGGUCCUGCCAGUUCAGUCAUUCAGGGAUGAGACCUCGACAACAGGGAGGUAUAUGUACCAAGUGUGGGAGAUUUCAUAUAGAGGCCUGUUACUUGGAUGCUCCAGUGUGUUACAAUUUUGGGGUGAGAGGUCACAUACAGCAGGACUGCCAUGCGCCCAGACAGGGCACAUGUAGGGGACUUGCUCAGCCAUCCAGUUCAUUAUUUGCUACGUCAACAGUGCACCCUCCAGCCCCAGCAGGGCAUGGUGCAGCCAGAGGUGGAGCUCGUGGUAGGGGCGGACCUAAUAGGUUUUAUGCAAUUAGUGACCGUCAGAGUGCUGAGGCUUCCCCAGAUGUUUUCAUAGGUAUCCUAUCUGUUCAGACCAUUGAUUAUUAUGCUCUUAUUUAUCCAGGGUCUUCUUUGUCCUAUGUCACUCCAUUUGUUGCUUCGAGUUUUGGGAUUGAACCCAAGCAGCUUCUUGAGCCAUUCUCUGUAUCGACUCCGGUUGGUAAUUCUAACGUCGUGCGGGUCUAUUGGAAUUGUGUUGUUAUGGUAGGUGGUCGUGUUACCACUAUUGAGCUUAUCUAGCUUGGGAUGGUGGAUUUUGAUGUAAUCAUGGGGAUGGAUUGGCUCUACUCGUGCUUUGAUAAACUUGAUUGUCGGAUGAGAGUCAUGAGACUCGAGUUCCCUAGUGAGCCGGUUGUUGAGUGGAAAGGAAAUGGUGUUGUGCCGAAGGGUAGCUAUAUUUCCUACUUCAAGGCUUCAAAGAUCAUCAGAAAGGGGUGUAUCUAUCAUUUAGUCUGGGUGGUGGACACUAAUCCAAAGGUUCCUGCCCCUGAGUUCAUGAUAGUUGUGAACGAGUUCUUUGAGUAUUUCCAGAUGAGCUUCCAAGAAUUCCGCCAGAUAGAGAGAUUGAUUUUGGGAUUGAUGGAUUGCCAAAUACUCAGCCAAUAUCUAUUCCACCGUACAGAAUGGCGCCAACAAAGUUGUGAUAGUUAAAAGAGCAGUUGAAGGAUCUAUUGAAGAAGAGGUUUAUUUGGCCAAGUGUGUCGCCAUGGGGUGCUCCGGUUCUUUUCGUCAGAAAGAAGGUGUCGCUUCAGAUGUGUAUCGAUUAUCGGCAGCUUAAUAAAGUCACCAUCAAAAAUACGUACCCUUUUCCUCGGAUAGAUGAUUUGUUGGAUCAAUUGCAAGGUGCAAGGUUCUUCUCCAAUAAUGAUUUGUGGUCUGGAUACAACCAAUUGAAGAUCAGGGAGCAGGAUUUUCCUAAGACCGCUUUCAGAACGCGUUAUGGCAACUUUGAAUUCUUGGUAAUGUCUUUUUGGCUAACCAAUGCCCCCACAGCUUUUAUGGAUCUUAUGAAUCGGGUCUUCAAGUCAUUUUUAGACUCCUUCGUGAUUUUUUUCAUUGACGACAUCCUCGUAUAUUCGCAGAGCAGGGAGGAUCAUGCCAGCCACCUCAGAGCGGUUUUGCAGACUCUACAUCAGCACCAAUUGUAUGCCAAGUUUUCCAAAUGUGAAUUUUGGUUGGAGNNNNNNNNNNNNNNNNNNNNNNNNNNNNNNNNNNNNNNNNNNNNNNNNNNNNNNNNNNNNNNNNNNNNNNNNNNNNNNNNNNNNNNNNNNNNNNNNNNNNNNNNNNNNNNNNNNNNNNNNNNNNNNNNNNNNNNNNNNNNNNNNNNNNNNNNNNNNNNNNNNNNNNNNNNNNNNNNNNNNNNNNNNNNNNNNNUGAGGGGAUUCAGGUGGACCCCCAAAAGAUUGCAGCGGUGAAGGAUUGGCCUAGGCCCACGACCCCGACGGAGAUUCGUAGCUUCUUGGGGUUAGUAGAGUAUUAUCAGAGGUUUGUAGAGGGAUUAUCCACCCUCGCCUCUCCUUUGACUAAAUUGACGCAGAAAUCCGCCAAGUUCCAGCGGUCAGAUGCUUGUGAGAAAAGUUUUCAAGAAUUUAAGACAAGGUUGACUUCGGCACCAGUGUUGGCAUUGCCAGAAGGCAUAGAGGGGUUUGUAGUUUAUUGUGAUGCCUCCACGGUUGGAUUAGGGUGUGUUCUGAUGCACCACGGGAAGGUCAUAGCAUAUGCUUCCAAGCAACUCAAGAAUCAUGAGAAGAAUUAUCUUACACAUGAUUUGGAGCUUGCAGCAGUUGUGUUCGCCUUGAAAACAUGGCGGCAUUAUCUAAAUGGGGUUCAUGUAGAUGUGUUUUCAAAUCCCAAGAGUCUUCAAUAUUUGUUCAAGUAGAAAGAGCUGAAUUUUAGGCAGCGGCGGUGGUUAGAAUUGCUUAAAGAUUACAAUAUGGACAUCUUGUACCACCCAGGGAAUGAGAACGUGGUGGCCGACGCCCUCAGUCGGAAAUCCAUGGGUAGCUUCCUCGGUUAAAAACCACCGACAUGUCAAGUUCCAAAUUCUAAUUAGUUCCUGGUCCUGGUCAGAGACCACUGUGUUCGCGCCUUUUCUCAAUCUAGUAAGAGGGGUUGGUUAAAAGAGAUGGAUUCCUUUCUUCAAUGCAUUCCACCGGGGCGACUAGGGUACCUUUUUUCUAAGAUACGUUCAUUCAAGCUCAAGCCAACUUCUAUUAGUUCAGUCGGAAGGCAAGGGUCCAGUCUAUCAAUCCAUUCAAGUUAUUGGGGCAUUUCUGCAUUGGUUGAUACCUUUUUUCUAAGAUACUUUCAUCAAGCUCAAGCCAACUUCUAUUAGUUCAGUCACUUGAGAACCGAUCAGAGGUUCCUAGCUCGGGAGGUACAUCAGUUGGCUAGCCUUGGAGUUUGUAUCUCGGCCCCGAAUAAGGAGGAACUUAUGGUGCAUAAUAUAGAAGAAUCGUCGCUCAUGGCAUAGGUUAAAGAAAAGAAUUUUGUUGAUCUAGCAUUGGCACAAUUGAAGGAGGCAUCUCUAAGUAACAAAAUUUCAGAAUUUUCACUUGGCAGCAGUGAUGGUGUACUACGGUGCCAUGACAGGUUAUAUGUAUCGGAUGUGGAUAAUCUUCGGGAGAGGGUAAUGGCGUAGGCUCAUCAUUCCAGGUAUUCCGUGCACCCAGGCUCUACACAGAUGUAUCACGAUCGCAAGGAUAUCUAUUGGUAGAGUGGUAUGAAGAAGAGUGUAGCGGACUUUGUCUCUAAGUGCCCGAAUUGCCAACAAGUGAAGGCCGAGCAUCAACGGAUGGGAGGGUUGGCUCAGCUUAUUGGAAAUACCGAUGUGGAAGUGGUAAAUGAUCAAUAUGGACUUCGUGACAGGACUACCUCGUACUCAGCACAAGUUCGACUCAAUUUGGGUAAUUGUGGAUAGGCUCACCAAAUCAGCUCACGUUUUGCUAGUCAAGUCCACCGAUACUGCGGAAAAAUAUGCUCGGUUGUAUAUCAAGGAGAUAGUGAGGCUUCAUGGUAUGCCACUUUCUAUCAUUUCGGAUCAAGGAGCUGAUGUUGGAUCAUGUGCUACUGCGGAAAAAUAUGCUCGGUUGUAUAUCAAGGAGAUAGUGAGGCUUCAUGGUAUGCCACUUUCUAUCAUUUCGGAUCAAGGAGCUCAGUUUACAGCUAACUUCUGGAGGAAAAUUCAGCAAGGUUUGGGUACUCAAGUAAAUCUCAGCACAACUUUUCAUUCGCAGACCGAUGGCCAAGCAAAGAGGACCAUUCAGACGCUCGAGGAUAUGUUGCAGGCAUGUGUCUUGGAUUUCAAAGGUAAUUGGGAUGACCACGUGCCCCUUAUAGAGUAUGCUUCUAACAACAGCUUCCAUGCUAGCAUCCAGAUGGCCUUAUUCGAAGCAUUGUAAGGAAGAAGGUGUUGGUCCCCGAUCGGGUGGUUCGAGAUUGGUGAAGCAUAAUUAAUAGGGCCAGAUCUCGUGCAUCAGGCCAUGGAGAAGGUAAGAUUCAUUCAGGAUAGGAUGAAGACUGCUCAAAGUCUCCAUAAAUCCUAUGCAGACGUGCGUCAAGAAAAAGAUUGGGUAUUCUUUAGGGUGCCCCCUAUGAAGGGAGUCAUGCGCUUCGGGAAGAAGGGAAAACUAAGUCCUAGGUACGUCGGGCCUUAUCAAGUCCCUCAAAGGAUCAGUCAAGUUGUGCAUAGGUUGGCAUUUCCCUCUGAAAUGUCUUUGGUGCACCUGGUGUUUCAUGUAUCCAUGUUGAGGAAAGUUGUGGGUGAUCCGUCUAAAAUCGUGCCAGUUGAAGACAUCAAGGUUACAGAAGAGUUAUCAUUUGAGGAGAUUCCGAUUGCUAUUCUAGAUAGACAAGUCCGAAAGUUGCGGAUGGAAGAUAUCAAAGUUACCGAAGAGUUAUCAUAUGAGGAGAUUCCGGUUGCUAUUCUGGAUAGGCAAGUCCGAAGGUUGCGGAACAAGUAGAUUGCUUCAGCUAAAGUGUUGUGGCGAAACCAACAAGUCGAGGAAGCCACAUGGGAAGCGAAAUAUGAGAUGAAGAUAAAAUACCCUCAUCUAUUUGGGCAAGUCUUGGAAUGGUCGUGCGAAUCUUGUCCCUAGGAGAGCUAGUGUUGUAUUCCAUUAGGUGUAAGAAUCAUCCCUUCUCUUUCCAAGUGCCUUAUUGUUGUAGUUUCUCCAAGAAGAUGAGAUGAAGAUAAAAUACCCCCAUCUAUUUGAGCAAGUCUAGGAAUGGUCGUGCGAAUAUUUUCCCUAGGAAAGCUAGUGUUGUGUUCUAUUAGGUGUAAAAUCAUCCCUUCUCUUUCCAAGUUCCUUAUUGUUGUACUUUCUCCAAGUUGUGCCAACCAAGUUUAUGUGUUGUGAUUCCCUUUUUGGUAAUAAAUGUUUUGUGCUCCCAUGGUAAUUAAUGUAUGGAAGUAAUAAUUAAUUUUGCAUGGAGACUAUGUAUCAAAGUGUUCUAAUUGUGUAAUGAUUAGUUUUGCAUGGAGGAAUUGUAUUGAAACAAAUAACUGUGUCAUACCCUUGUGAUAGGUAAAUGGCUUUAAUAGUACUGGUGAUUAAUGCUUAAUUUGAUUAUAUGUUGUGUGCCAAAAGGUUAAAAGUGUAUCAAGAGUUUUAAUAUGUGCAAGUAUGAGGAUUAUGCAUGGUACACCUAUUGUAAAUGUAGCAAGUUUGUGUAGCAAUGCUUGGACAUGUGUUUUGGGGAUUCUUUGACAGGUGGUUAUGUCUAUAUUACAAAGGAGACUGUGGCAAAUUUUUUCUAAAACAAACUUGAAAGUUAAUAAAAGUGUAGAAACUUGAAUAUCAUGUUUUCAAACACAUUUGGUUCCCAAGUCCUCAUUCGAGGACGAAUGAUCUUAAGCGGGGGAGAAUGUAAGGCCUCAUGAAAUAAGUGCUCAGAUGUUAGCAGCUCAUACAGUCAGUCUACCUACAUGGAUGAGAUCCUUUUUACUGUUUUGAUCUUAAAAAUGUGAAAUCGAAAUUUUUCCAGAAAAUGGUCAAAAUACGGUCCAGAAUGCGGUCGCAGAUUAGAUUUGCGGGCCACAUUCCAGUAGCAGAGUGAAUCAGAGAGCAACCAAUUUUUUAUGUUGAAAAAGCGGUCAAAUCUACGAUCGCAUAAUCAAUAUGCGGACCGCAGAUUGAUCGCAUAUUGCACCUAAGGAAAUUCAAAGGUCAGUUUGGCAGUGCAUUCUGCAACCGCAGAACUCAAAUACAGACCGCAUAUUCACCUCAUUUCCAACCCGAGAGGUUUGAAACUUGAGCCACUUCUGCGGUCCAUUCUGCGGACUGCAUGUCUGUUCUAUGAUCGCAAAUUGUGUUGCAGAUCGAGCUCGCCUGGUAUUUUUUUUAAAAUUUUAGACCCGACCUACCUUUUAUUAUAACACCUUCGCCCUCAUUUCUAACACAUUUUUGAUCAAACCAAGAGAGAGGGAUAGAGGGUUCUUGAGAGAGAAAGCAAUCCUUCAUCAUCUAGUCUUUCAAAUCAUUGGAGCUUGGAAAAUGCAUGGUGCAUUGUCUUCUCUAUUGAUUUCUCAGGUAAAAUUCCUAACCUAUUUCCCCCAAAUUUUGAAAUUAAGCUUGGGCAGGGAACCCCAUACACUUGCUUUGAAAUUUCUUCAUAAAAUCUUCAUGCAUGUCUUCAAAACUNNNNNNNNNNNNNNNNNNNNNNNNNNNNNNNNNNNNNNNNNNNNNNNNNNNNNNNNNNNNNNNNNNNNNNNNNNNNNNNNNNNNNNNNNNNNNNNNNNNNNNNNNNNNNNNNNNNNNNNAAUGAGUUUAAAUUUCUAAAACCUAAGUGUUGCUCAUGAACUAGAUUGACUUCUUGAUUUCUUGCCGAAUUGGACUAGAGGUUCAAAGGGAAUAAUCAACUCCACGUAUGUAUGGCUAACUGUGAUCCUUGUGAAAUCGCUAUGUGAUAGUUGUGAUUGAUAGUUGAUAUUCAUGUGGGAAUCAUUGUGAAACUUUUGUGUUGUAUAAUUGUGUGGUAACACUUUGUGGUGAAAGUUGUGGAACUUGUAAUUGGAAGAGUUUGGAAAUGGAAAUAAUGUGGAACAAUGGAAAUGGAAAUAAUGUUGAACAAUGGAAAUGGAAAAAAUGUGGAACAACGUUUGUGAUUAGUUGUGAACAAUUGUGGUGAUAAUCCAAAUUGUGUACCAAUUUGAUGAAUAUGAGGAAAUUGUUGUUGCUAGUUGUGGGAUUUCAUUAUCCUUGUUGUGGAUAUAUUUUAACAAUGUAUCAUAGUUGAUUUCUUGUAUUUGUUGUUGUGCUGUUUGUUGUUGUGAAUUGAAAACUGUCAGGCAAGGUCGGGUUGCGCACCGCAACACGGUGAAAUAAGGUGUAGGUUGGGUUAAUUUAACAAUGUGCCAUAGUUGAUUUAUGGUAUUUGUUGUUGUGCUGUUUAUUGUUGUGAAUUGAAACUGUCAGGCGGGGUCGGGUUGCGUGCCACAAAACAAUGAAAUAAGGUGUGGGUUGGGGUGAUAAGGGUGAACAAGGUAAUAAGGGUGGACGAGGAAAUAAGGGUGGAAAAGGUGAUCCAAUAUCACUAUUGAUAUGAAUAUGAAUCAUGAAAUGAUCAAUGUGGAAUUGUAAAAAAAAAAAGUAGGAGAGUUUGUAACCUGUGGGGCACUGACCCCUUUGUUUGACUACUUGAAUCAUUUGUUGUGAAAUGUUUCGUUGUUGCUCCAUGGUUGUACUUGUACUAUUGUUGUUCAGUUUUACACUUGUAUAUGCAAUUUGGCUUGAGUUUACUUGGGACAGAGUUUGUUCAUGCAUACCAGUACAAUUCAUAUGUACUGACGUCCCUUUUUGCGGGGACGCUACGUUCGUGUAUGAUUGUAGGUGGACCCAUGACAGGCACUCCAGUCCACAGUUCGUAGCUCCUCCUCCUCUUUAUCGGCGAUAUUCGUGUUUGGUGAGCCCCUUUCCUUCCGGGGCAUUGUGUGGCUCAUGCCACCCAUGAUGUUGUAUUUUGGAGUUUGUGUUCUUUUUUAAAGGUAUAGUUGGGCCUUGUCACCGGCAAGUGUUGUAUUAUCUUUCUCUUAGAGGCUCUGUAGACAGUGGUAUGUGGGUUAGAACUUAUGUAUAGAGGUGUAUGUUUUAAGCGUUGUCAACUUGUAAACCACGUUCCCUGUU
RNAcentral lists this long non-coding RNA (21936 nucleotides) under Nicotiana benthamiana. RNAcentral's name for it is "long non-coding RNA (NBEN_LNC026769)". Lineage: Eukaryota; Viridiplantae; Streptophyta; Magnoliopsida; Solanales; Solanaceae. The record is from RNAcentral.